UACGGAGGAUGCAAGCGUUAUCCGGAAUUAUUGGGCGUAAAGCGUCCGCAGGUGGCUGUGUAAGUCUGCUGUCAAAGAGCAAAGCUCAACUUUGUAAAGGCAGUGGAAACUACACGGCUAGAGUGCGUUAGGGGCAGAGGGAAUUCCUGGUGUAGCGGUGAAAUGCGUAGAGAUCAGGAAGAACACCGGUGGCGAAGGCGCUCUGCUAGGCAGCAACUGACACUGAGGGACGAAAGCUAGGGGAGCGAAUGGG
RNAcentral lists this ribosomal RNA (253 nucleotides) under uncultured bacterium. RNAcentral's name for it is "partial 16S ribosomal RNA". It matches the Rfam family "Bacterial small subunit ribosomal RNA", at positions 524 to 776 of the family's 1533-position model. The record is from RNAcentral.